CCUACGGGAGACAGCAGUAGGGAAUCUUCGGCAAUGGACGAAAGUCUGACCGAGCAACGCCGCGUGAGUGAAGAAGGUUUUCGGAUCGUAAAACUCUGUUGUUAGAGAAGAACAAGGAUGAGAGUAGAACGUUCAUCCCUUGACGGUAUCUAACCAGAAAGCCACGGCUAACUACGUGCCAGCAGCCGCGGUAAUACGUAGGUGGCAAGCGUUGUCCGGAUUUAUUGGGCGUAAAGCGAGCGCAGGCGGUUUCUUAAGUCUGAUGUGAAAGCCCCCGGCUCAACCGGGGAGGGUCAUUGGAAACUGGGAGACUUGAGUGCAGAAGAGGAGAGUGGAAUUCCAUGUGUAGCGGUGAAAUGCGUAGAUAUAUGGAGGAACACCAGUGGCGAAGGCGGCUCUCUGGUCUGUAACUGACGCUGAGGCUCGAAAGCGUGGGGAGCGAACAGGAUUAGAUACCCGAGUAGUC
This 466-nucleotide ribosomal RNA is filed under the name uncultured bacterium. RNAcentral's name for it is "partial 16S ribosomal RNA". It matches the Rfam family "Bacterial small subunit ribosomal RNA", at positions 338 to 795 of the family's 1533-position model. The record is from RNAcentral.